RNAcentral lists this long non-coding RNA (570 nucleotides) under Capsicum annuum. Its description in RNAcentral is "long non-coding RNA (CANN_LNC005554)". The record is from RNAcentral. Lineage: Eukaryota; Viridiplantae; Streptophyta; Magnoliopsida; Solanales; Solanaceae.
AAUGAGCUGCUAUUUAAUAGUCUCGACUGAAUUGAUCUAUGUACCCUGUGAAUAGAAGCUAGAGAACCUUACUUUGAAGAAGAGUCUUGGUUCGAAGUGUAUCCUUUGAAUAGAAGCUAGAGAACCUUACUUUGAAGAAGAGUCUUGGUUCGAAGUGUAUCCUUUGAAUAGAAGCUAGAGAACCUUACUUUGAAGAAGAGUCUUGGUUCGAAGUAUAGGGAGAGAAGGAGACCACUGAAUCAGUUGGCUCAGCUCUGAACAUUGAAUGGUGGGAAUUCAUCUUCACAAGCCUAGUGCAUGAGUGGUGCUUUUUCUUCGUAGCAGGAGAAUCUAGUUCAAUGACUAUAAUAGUAGGGAAGUAGGAACUGUAACAAUGGUGAAGCUUUUGUUUCCUUUUUCUUUCAGGUGUGUGUGUGCAUAAAUCGUGUUCAACUUAUAACUUUUUUCAAAUAAAUUCUGCUCGUCUCUCUGGGAUAACCACAGUUGGAAGGAGUAGAACGAACAAACUUUUUACAGCGCAAAAAAUAAUAUCAGGCAUAGAAAACCUGGUGCCAAUAUGUUGUGUACUCC